Molecule: ribosomal RNA, 163 nt
Filed under: Hymenolobus procumbens subsp. procumbens
Lineage: Eukaryota; Viridiplantae; Streptophyta; Magnoliopsida; Brassicales; Brassicaceae
Also listed under: 1 other name
Description: 5.8S ribosomal RNA
Rfam family: 5.8S ribosomal RNA
About the family: 5.8S ribosomal RNA (5.8S rRNA) is a component of the large subunit of the eukaryotic ribosome. It is transcribed by RNA polymerase I as part of the 45S precursor that also contains 18S and 28S rRNA.
Source: RNAcentral
AAACGACUCUCGGCAACGGAUAUCUCGGCUCUCGCAUCGAUGAAGAACGUAGCGAAAUGCGAUACUUGGUGUGAAUUGCAGAAUCCCGUGAACCAUCGAGUCUUUGAACGCAAGUUGCGCCCUAAGCCUUCUGGUCGAGGGCACGUCUGCCUGGGUGUCACAA